AGAACGAACGCUGGCGGCAUGCCUAACACAUGCAAGUCGAACGAGACCUUCGGGUCUAGUGGCGCACGGGUGCGUAACGCGUGGGAAUCUGCCUUGGGGUACGGAAUAACUCAGAGAAAUUUGAGCUAAUACCGUAUGAUGUCUUCGGACCAAAGAUUUAUCGCCCUGAGAUGAGCCCGCGUAGGAUUAGCUAGUUGGUGGGGUAAAGGCCUACCAAGGCGACGAUCCUUAGCUGGUCUGAGAGGAUGAUCAGCCACACUGGGACUGAGACACGGCCCAGACUCCUACGGGAGGCAGCAGUGGGGAAUAUUGGACAAUGGGCGAAAGCCUGAUCCAGCAAUGCCGCGUGAGUGAUGAAGGCCUUAGGGUUGUAAAGCUCUUUUACCCGGGAAGAUAAUGACUGUACCGGGAGAAUAAGCCCGGCUAACUCCGUGCCAGCAGCCGC
This 445-nucleotide ribosomal RNA is filed under the name uncultured bacterium. RNAcentral describes it as "SSU rRNA". It matches the Rfam family "Bacterial small subunit ribosomal RNA", at positions 26 to 518 of the family's 1533-position model. The record is from RNAcentral.